AUUGAACGCUGGCGGCAUGCCUUACACAUGCAAGUCGAACGGCAGCACGGGUGCUUGCACCUGGUGGCGAGUGGCGAACGGGUGAGUAAUACAUCGGAACAUGUCCUGUAGUGGGGGAUAGCCCGGCGAAAGCCGGAUUAAUACCGCAUACGAUCUACGGAUGAAAGCGGGGGACCUUCGGGCCUCGCGCUAUAGGGUUGGCCGAUGGCUGAUUAGCUAGUUGGUGGGGUAAAGGCCUACCAAGGCGACGAUCAGUAGCUGGUCUGAGAGGACGACCAGCCACACUGGGACUGAGACACGGCCCAGACUCCUACGGGAGGCAGCAGUGGGGAAUUUUGGACAAUGGGCGAAAGCCUGAUCCAGCAAUGCCGCGUGUGUGAAGAAGGCCUUCGGGUUGUAAAGCACUUUUGUCCGGAAAGAAAUGCUUGGACCUAAUACGGUCGGGGGAUGACGGUACCGGAAGAAUAAGCACCGGCUAACUACGUG
RNAcentral lists this ribosomal RNA (486 nucleotides) under uncultured bacterium. Its description in RNAcentral is "partial 16S ribosomal RNA". It matches the Rfam family "Bacterial small subunit ribosomal RNA", at positions 30 to 507 of the family's 1533-position model. The record is from RNAcentral.